ACAGAAGUUUUAUUAGCUUAGU
RNAcentral lists this small nuclear RNA (22 nucleotides) under Arabidopsis thaliana (thale cress). RNAcentral's name for it is "snRNA_16555". Lineage: Eukaryota; Viridiplantae; Streptophyta; Magnoliopsida; Brassicales; Brassicaceae. The record is from RNAcentral.